RNAcentral lists this ribosomal RNA (279 nucleotides) under uncultured bacterium. Its description in RNAcentral is "partial 16S ribosomal RNA". It matches the Rfam family "Bacterial small subunit ribosomal RNA", at positions 506 to 784 of the family's 1533-position model. The record is from RNAcentral.
UGCCAGCCGCCGCGGUAAUACGGAGGGGGUUAGCGUUGUUCGGAAUUACUGGGCGUAAAGCGUACGUAGGCGGAUUGGAAAGUAUGGGGUGGAAUCCCAGGGCUCAACCCUGGAACUGCCUCAUAAACUCCCAGUCUUGAGUUCGAGAGAGGUGAGUGGAACUCCGAGUGUAGAGGUGAAAUUCGUAGAUAUUCGGAAGAACACCAGUGGCGAAGGCGGCUCACUGGCUCGAUACUGACGCUGAGGUACGAAAGUGUGGGGAGCAAACAGGAUUAGAUA